This 2167-nucleotide long non-coding RNA is filed under the name Heterocephalus glaber (naked mole-rat). RNAcentral's name for it is "lncRNA (ENSHGLG00000043618.1)". Lineage: Eukaryota; Metazoa; Chordata; Mammalia; Rodentia; Bathyergidae. The record is from RNAcentral.
UGAAGAAGGCUGCUGGUUAAGUUCAUUAACAUUGUCUAGAAAAUUGUAUUGAGAUCUUAAGCAAAUUGCAACUAUAAACAUGUGACUCUUUGUUUGUUUGCUUGUGUUUUGGGGAUUGAACUUGAGUCCUUGUGCUUUUGAGGCAGGCUGUGGAACCACUGAGCUAAAUUCCCGGCCCAGUAACUCUUGACAAAGCUUCCUUCCUUGGUCAAACUGCAAUCAGGCUCUGGAACCUUUUCCUAAGCCCGUCCGUGCACUUUCCUAUGAAAUCCAGUUUCAGCAAGAAGCCUGCCGAGUCAGUUUAGCAGGAACCGCUGUCUGUAAUAGCCGGUCAAUAUUCCAUCAGGAUCCUCACCUGCUACCAUAUCCAGGUGACACUGACUGCACUACUCUGCCUUCAGCAAGAAUCCUGGUCAGAUGGUUCAGCCCGACUCCCCCUUAACUGGGCGUCUCCUCUUAGUGAUUUUCCAUGCAUGGACCCUGCCCUGCGCCUUGGCUAAAAAUCCCCACUUGCCUAUGCUGUUUUUGGAGUUGAGCCCAGUCUUGCUCAGUUCAGAAUCUCACCGCUGUGGUCCUUAUGUUUAUCCCAGUGGUCCGGAAUAGUCUGCUUUACCGGGUGUACUCAGUGUCAUCGGACAACUGCUUCUCAAAUGCUCUUUGUCACUGGAUUUUCAGGUAUUUUGGUGCUCAUUCCUGUCAGCCAGGUGGGGACGUAACCCUGAGCCUCACAUGUGACGAGCAGAGGCACCAGAGCGCCCAGCGUGACUGGAGGCACCCAGCUUCCUAGGGCUCCGUGGGCCCCUCCUCUGCCCAGAGAACCCCCACAUUCACCACAUUCUCCAGGACCGUCGAAGGUGGGCAUGUACGCCCCACGAAAGCGGCAAAGGCCUUUGCUUGGGCCUGGGCCCUGGGGGAAGAGGCAGGGUCCGCAGCAGCAGGUGCCACCCACCUCAUCCAGGGUUCCUGAGCCCUCCCUCCCGAAAUGCUGUUGUUGCCACAAGAGGGGAUUCAUAGCUUUGUGUUCAAUAAACACUGCGCCACCCAUGUGGGCUGUAACAGGGCCAUGGGAAGAGAGAGAGAGAGAGAGAGAGAGAGAGAGAGCCGGUGAGAAGAGAAUGAAUUCCCAGCGACCAGCGGAGAAGUAUCUCACCCACCUGCAGGGCUCAGGAAAGACUUUCUGGAAGAAAUGCUAUUGGAGUCUUAAAGGGAAAGCACAAGUUUAGCAGUUAAGGGUGAGAAAGCUCCAAGGGAGACAGCACUGUGCAUACAGCAAGUUACAGGUAUUUUAGGAGCCAAGACAGUGGUUCUACAGUGGGGGCCCUGAGGCCAUUUCUGGGGUGUGCCAGGUCUCCUCAUUCUCUGAUAGGUUUACAGGGAGUUUGCAGGGCGUAUGAAGUGUCAUAUCACAACAGAUUAACUGCAGAGGCAGAUGAGAAUCUAGCUGUUACUUAGCCAGACACUUAAGAGAUCUGCAAAAAUGUAAAAUAAUGCCAAUCAUUUAUUCUUGGUUUAGAAAAUAGAACUUUUUUUCAUAAACUAUAUCUUAUUUAUCUAACGUGAUAGGUUGUAUUACUGUUAGUUUAAAAUUUUAAAAACUGUUAAAAAGUUUCCCAGGUUAAAUUUCUGAUAUGGUAAUAAACUGGCAGAUAGAAUUCAAGUCAACAACAGCUCUUCGAAGUUCUCGGGGCUGUUUUUGAGAGUGUUGAGAGACUUUUCAUAGGUUCUUGGGGAUCCUGAGAUGGGGCAUAGCCUUGGGUUGCAUGGGCCCCAGGUGGCUCUGAGAGGGAGGAAGAGGGUCAACGUCAGAGAAGCUUAAAAAGACAGGAAACAGAUUCUCCCCGGCCACCUCCCCAAAGAAGGCAGCCUGAUGACACCUUGGGUGCAGACCCAUUUUCCAAGUCCUGGCUUCCAGAACUUUGAGCUUGUUCAUUUAUGUUGCUUUAAGCUGCAGGUUGUGACAAUUUGUUACAGCAGCCAUGGGAAAGGAAUACACUUCUCUCCUAACUUGACCAACACUGAAUUCCUCAAAUAGUCCACUGGUAUCCAGCUCAGAAUUGAGCUGUGUUCAUCUCAGAGAUGGCAACUAUGUAACCACAGUUUAUAUCUUGUUUCCUUUUCAUGGAAUCUGGUGGAUGAGAAUUGUUUAUGUUGCAUGUGGUAACCCAAG